GACCCCCCACCCCAAAACUAUCACACACCAUCAUCUCUUCCUCUCUCUUCGCCUCCAUCUUCUCUGUUGUUGAAAUCGUCCCACGGUGGUGGAAAGUAUCCAAACGCCACCAAAUUAUCACCAGACACUCUCCUCAUCUCCCUUAUUCCUAAUCCAUAACUCGUUCCUCUUUAAAACAUUCCAAGGUUUACGAUCAGUAGAUCUACAAAAUCAUUAACCCUAAAAUUUUCCCUUUUUGUUUUCUUCUUCAAUUCCGGCAUGUAAAGAUUUUAAACCUAAAUCAAUCGUUUGCUCAAAAUUAGAGCUAUCGAUUGCCGUUGGUAAUAGAUCAUUUUACGAUGGCCGGAAUCCCUUUCACCGAAACCCUUUAUCUCUGUCAAAAUUCAUUGAACCUCAACUUUGUCCAAUGAAAUAAUUAUCAAACAUCAAGAGUCCAAAUAAGUGUUCAUUGGACGAAGGUCGCUGCCAUUCAACCUCGAAAUCUGGUGUUUGGUUUGACCCCUGAGCUUUUGGUCUUACCAGCUUUAUUCAGGUAUUUCUGAACUCAGUAGCAGGUGUUGGUUGCUCAGAAGCAAAGUCAUCGGAGUUUGGCAAGGUAGCUGCCCGACGUUCGCAGCACUGCUUCUUAUCCCUCUUGAUUUCAUUAGACUGUAUCUAGUACAUUUUUCAGACUUUCCAUUGUAUUUAGACCUUAGUAGAUGCUCAUGACUUGUGACACCCCGAUGUCGGGCUGUAUCUAUUUCCGCACCUAUUCUAUUUCGCUUAAUUUGGGAUUUAUUUCUUAUCAAUGACUUAAAUUGACUUAUUAAAAUUGUUAAAAAUGAA
Molecule: long non-coding RNA, 825 nt
Organism: Nicotiana tabacum (common tobacco)
Lineage: Eukaryota; Viridiplantae; Streptophyta; Magnoliopsida; Solanales; Solanaceae
Source: RefSeq, a predicted model, not a curated record